GGCAUUUGAGCUUGUUACUGGUGAUUCCUUAUUUGAACCAAAAGCAGGGCCGAAUUUCUCCUUAGAGGAAGACCACCUGGCUCAUAUUAUUGAGCUCUUGGGUAUGAUCCCAGUGUCAGUGGCUCUGUCUGGGAAAUAUUCCUAUGAGUAUUUCAACCACAAGGGUGACCUGCGGCGAAUAGCC
Molecule: long non-coding RNA, 184 nt
Organism: Sinocyclocheilus anshuiensis
Lineage: Eukaryota; Metazoa; Chordata; Actinopteri; Cypriniformes; Cyprinidae
Exons: 3
Source: RefSeq, a predicted model, not a curated record